GUGGUAGUAGCAAAUACUCAAGUGAGAUCCUUGAGGGCUGACGUGGAGAAGGGUUCCAUGUGAACAGCAAUUGCACAUGGGUGAGUCGUUCCUAAGCCAAAGGCGAAAGCCACACUCAUAAACUUGUGGCCACAUGAAUUUUUUAAGGGGAAUAUAUAUCAAUAAUGCCAGAAACAGCACCGAAUGGAUAGGCUAUCCUCAAGUGCUAGUGGAAGCAGAUAAUGAUUGAUCAAUCAUGCCAGAAACAGCACCGAAUGGAUAGGCUAUCCUCAAGUGCUAGUGGAAGCAGAUUGGAUUUCUCCCUAUUUUCGAGUGAGCCUGCAAGGAGUUUGGCGAAAGGGAAUCCGGUACUCAUUCCGGAACCUGGACAUGAGGAGUAGUGUUGCUUUAUGCAUCACAUAGCCGCAAGGCAUUUACCAUCCUGGAGAAUCCAACCAGAGAGCUGGGAAGAGUUGUCUUUUCUGCUUAAGGGGAAGAGGGCCUUGUGAACUGGGUCGGUCAGAGAGAGGGUCUUUUCCCCGAAUAGCACCGCGGUUCUUGCGGAGUCCAGCUCCUCUGGUAUGGAACUUGAAAAUCCAGGGGUAAGAUGAAAUACCUUCAUGCCAGUUCGUACCCAUA
RNAcentral lists this ribosomal RNA (618 nucleotides) under Baicalocandona navitarum. RNAcentral's name for it is "LSU rRNA". It matches the Rfam family "Eukaryotic large subunit ribosomal RNA", at positions 1454 to 1852 of the family's 3401-position model. Lineage: Eukaryota; Metazoa; Arthropoda; Ostracoda; Podocopida; Candonidae. The record is from RNAcentral.